Molecule: ribosomal RNA, 1347 nt
Filed under: uncultured bacterium
Lineage: Bacteria
Description: partial 16S ribosomal RNA
Rfam family: Bacterial small subunit ribosomal RNA
Source: RNAcentral
GACGAACGCUGGCGGCGUGCUUAACACAUGCAAGUCGAACGGAAAGGCCCUGCUUUUGUGGGGUGCUCGAGUGGCGAACGGGUGAGUAACACGUGAGUAACCUGCCCUUGACUUUGGGAUAACUUCAGGAAACUGGGGCUAAUACCGGAUAGGAGCUCCUGCUGCAUGGUGGGGGUUGGAAAGUUUCGGCGGUUGGGGAUGGACUCGCGGCUUAUCAGCUUGUUGGUGGGGUAGUGGCUUACCAAGGCUUUGACGGGUAGCCGGCCUGAGAGGGUGACCGGCCACAUUGGGACUGAGAUACGGCCCAGACUCCUACGGGAGGCAGCAGUGGGGAAUAUUGCACAAUGGGCGGAAGCCUGAUGCAGCAACGCCGCGUGCGGGAUGACGGCCUUCGGGUUGUAAACCGCUUUCGCCUGUGACGAAGCGUGAGUGACGGUAAUGGGUAAAGAAGCACCGGCUAACUACGUGCCAGCAGCCGCGGUGAUACGUAGGGUGCGAGCGUUGUCCGGAUUUAUUGGGCGUAAAGGGCUCGUAGGUGGUUGAUCGCGUCGGAAGUGUAAUCUUGGGGCUUAACCCUGAGCGUGCUUUCGAUACGGGUUGACUUGAGGAAGGUAGGGGAGAAUGGAAUUCCUGGUGGAGCGGUGGAAUGCGCAGAUAUCAGGAGGAACACCAGUGGCGAAGGCGGUUCUCUGGGCCUUUCCUGACGCUGAGGAGCGAAAGCGUGGGGAGCGAACAGGCUUAGAUACCCUGGUAGUCCACGCUGUAAACGGUGGGUACUAGGUGUGGGGUCCUUUCCACGGGUUCCGUGCCGUAGCUAACGCUUUAAGUACCCCGCCUGGGGAGUACGGCCGCAAGGCUAAAACUCAAAGGAAUUGACGGGGCCCCGCACAAGCGGCGGAGCAUGCGGAUUAAUUCGAUGCAACGCGUAGAACCUUACCUGGGUUUGACAUGGAUCGGGAGUGCUCAGAGAUGGGUGUGCCUCUUUUGGGGUCGGUUCACAGGUGGUGCAUGGCUGUCGUCAGCUCGUGUCGUGAGAUGUUGGGUUAAGUCCCGCAACGAGCGCAACCCUUGUUCACUGUUGCCAGCACGUUAUGGUGGGGACUCAGUGGAGACCGCCGGGGUCAACUCGGAGGAAGGUGGGGAUGACGUCAAGUCAUCAUGCCCCUUAUGUCCAGGGCUUCACGCAUGCUACAAUGGCUGGUACAGAGAGUGGCGAGCCUGUGAGGGUGAGCGAAUCUCGGAAAGCCGGUCUCAGUUCGGAUUGGGGUCUGCAACUCGACCUCAUGAAGUCGGAGUCGCUAGUAAUCGCAGAUCAGCAACGCUGCGGUGAAUACAGUUCCCGGGGCU